Molecule: ribosomal RNA, 718 nt
Filed under: Staphylococcus pseudintermedius
Lineage: Bacteria; Bacillati; Bacillota; Bacilli; Caryophanales; Staphylococcaceae
Description: bacterial SSU rRNA
Rfam family: Bacterial small subunit ribosomal RNA
Source: RNAcentral
CCCGCGCCGUAUUAGCUAGUUGGUGGGGUAACGGCCUACCAAGGCGACGAUACGUAGCCGACCUGAGAGGGUGAUCGGCCACACUGGAACUGAGACACGGUCCAGACUCCUACGGGAGGCAGCAGUAGGGAAUCUUCCGCAAUGGGCGAAAGCCUGACGGAGCAACGCCGCGUGAGUGAUGAAGGUCUUCGGAUCGUAAAGCUCUGUUGUUAGGGAAGAACAAAUGUGUAAGUAACUGUGCACAUCUUGACGGUACCUAACCAGAAAGCCACGGCUAACUACGUGCCAGCAGCCGCGGUAAUACGUAGGUGGCAAGCGUUAUCCGGAAUUAUUGGGCGUAAAGCGCGCGUAGGCGGUUUUUUAAGUCUGAUGUGAAAGCCCACGGCUCAACCGUGGAGGGUCAUUGGAAACUGGAAAACUUGAGUGCAGAAGAGGAAAGUGGAAUUCCAUGUGUAGCGGUGAAAUGCGCAGAGAUAUGGAGGAACACCAGUGGCGAAGGCGGCUUUCUGGUCUGCAACUGACGCUGAUGUGCGAAAGCGUGGGGAUCAAACAGGAUUAGAUACCCUGGUAGUCCACGCCGUAAACGAUGAGUGCUAAGUGUUAGGGGGUUUCCGCCCCUUAGUGCUGCAGCUAACGCAUUAAGCACUCCGCCUGGGGAGUACGGUCGCAAGACUGAAACUCAAAGGAAUUGACGGGGACCCGCACAAGCGGUGGAGCA